RNAcentral lists this ribosomal RNA (253 nucleotides) under uncultured bacterium. Its description in RNAcentral is "partial 16S ribosomal RNA". It matches the Rfam family "Bacterial small subunit ribosomal RNA", at positions 524 to 776 of the family's 1533-position model. The record is from RNAcentral.
UACGUAGGGUGCAAGCGUUAAUCGGAAUUACUGGGCGUAAAGCGUGCGCAGGCGGUUCUAUAAGACAGAUGUGAAAUCCCCGGGCUCAACCUGGGAACUGCAUUUGUGACUGUAGAGCUGGAGUGCGGCAGAGGGGGAUGGAAUUCCGCGUGUAGCAGUGAAAUGUGUAGAUAUGCGGAGGAACACCGAUGGCGAAGGCAAUCCCCUGGGCCUGCACUGACGCUCAUGCACGAAAGCGUGGGGAGCAAACAGG